This 301-nucleotide ribosomal RNA is filed under the name uncultured bacterium. RNAcentral describes it as "partial 16S ribosomal RNA". It matches the Rfam family "Bacterial small subunit ribosomal RNA", at positions 509 to 807 of the family's 1533-position model. The record is from RNAcentral.
CAGCAGCCACGGUAAUACGGAGGAUCCAAGCGUUAUCCGGAAUCAUUGGGUUUAAAGGGUCCGUAGGCGGUCUUGUAAGUCAGUGGUGAAAGCCCAUCGCUCAACGGUGGAACGGCCAUUGAUACUGCAGGACUUGAAUUAUUGGGAAGUAACUAGAAUAUGUAGUGUAGCGGUGAAAUGCUUAGAGAUUACAUGGAAUACCAAUUGCGAAGGCAGGUUACUACCAAUUGAUUGACGCUGAUGGACGAAAGCGUAGGUAGCGAACAGGAUUAGAUACCCCCGUAGUCCCUGUCUCUUAUAC